CUCCUGAUCUUCUGACACUAUUUCUGGACAUGACUAACCAUAGAGAAUGCCUUACUGCUUGAUGUGGAGAAUGAAGGCAAAGGAAGAAAAUGAAACUUUCUUACAACUUACAACCCACUGAUAAGUCCUUGAGAAAGGCAGUGACCUUCCUCUAGAAACUCAACUGCUUCGAGGGUAAUACUUUGCUAGGAGGAAAAGCAAGCCCAAUCUCCAGGAACUUUGCUCCAUCCAGAGAAGGUCAUCUGAGGCUUGUUCUGAUUUAUUUUUCUCCUGCGAUUUCUCCUUUAUCCCACUUGACACGUUUUAUGGUAGAGUUCCCUUGUGAUGAAGCGCAAGUGUUCUUCUGAGUUACGGACAACUUCCUGUUUUCUUUCCCCCCACCGAAUCGUCCUGAAGAUGGCUUUGUUCCCAUUUUGUCCUAGAGAACAGGAGGAAAGCCUUUGAGUGAAACUUGAUGUCACUGAGGAGGAAAGAAGUUUGAAAGCCAUAGAGACAUGGCUUAUAUUUGGUGCGGAAGUUAUUGAAGAGGAAGAAUUUAUCAUAAAUCAUUGUGAGCCUUGUCGUUGUCAUCACAUCAUCAUCAGCAUCAUCAUCACCAUCCUCCUAGCCAACGUCAUCGUCCCCAGCAUUGUCCUUGUUUUCAGUACCACUCGGUACUUGUGUGCAUGCGAGGCGGCGUUAGGAAUGCCAUAACAAUGGAAUCAAAUGUACACAGUCCUGCCUUUCUGUCAUGCCGUUGAAGGCGACUCACAUCCAUACAUUUGCUGACAAUAAAAUAUUCAAUUUUGAA
This is a long non-coding RNA of Suricata suricatta (meerkat), 790 nucleotides long. RefSeq lists it as uncharacterized. NCBI's taxonomy places the organism in Eukaryota, Metazoa, Chordata, Mammalia, Carnivora, Herpestidae. The record is from RefSeq and is a predicted model, not a curated record. The transcript is spliced from 3 exons.